UACAGAGGGUGCAAGCGUUGUUCGGAAUUAUUGGGCGUAAAGGGCGCGUAGGCGGUCAGCACAAGUCAGUUGUGAAAUCUCCGGGCUUAACUCGGAAAGGUCAACUGAUACUGUGCGACUAGAGUGCAGAAGGGGCAACUGGAAUUCUCGGUGUAGCGGUGAAAUGCGUAGAUAUCGAGAGGAACACCUGCGGCGAAGGCGGGUUGCUGGGCUGACACUGACGCUGAUGCGCGAAAGCCAGGGGAGCGAACGGG
RNAcentral lists this ribosomal RNA (254 nucleotides) under uncultured bacterium. RNAcentral's name for it is "partial 16S ribosomal RNA". It matches the Rfam family "Bacterial small subunit ribosomal RNA", at positions 524 to 776 of the family's 1533-position model. The record is from RNAcentral.